UUCGAGAUAAAAAAAUGUUUC
Molecule: non-coding RNA, 21 nt
Organism: Caenorhabditis elegans
Lineage: Eukaryota; Metazoa; Nematoda; Chromadorea; Rhabditida; Rhabditidae
Source: Ensembl